Molecule: unclassified non-coding RNA, 464 nt
Filed under: Hevea brasiliensis (rubber tree)
Lineage: Eukaryota; Viridiplantae; Streptophyta; Magnoliopsida; Malpighiales; Euphorbiaceae
Source: RNAcentral
UUCUAGACACCACAAGAAAAAUGGCUUCUAAAAAGGUGAGCGCCCUUUGCAUAAUAGCCUCCCUCCUUAUCAUCUCCUUCACUCUCACCAAUGCCAUCCGACCAGAGCCGGCCUCCGCCGGUGUUAAUCCGGCGAAAAUCGGAGACGGGGAUUUUGAUCAAGCAGAGAAGGUUGAGGUUGAUGAAGAUAGCUGUGAAGGAGUAGGGGAAGAAGACUGCUUGAUGAGAAGAACACUUGCGGCUCACAUUGAUUAUAUCUAUACCCAGAAAAACAAGCCAUGAAAAUUAAUUAAAAUUUGAUUUAAUUAGCUUUAUGUUCUUGAUUAUUUUCAUUGAUAUCUCUCAUAUUGUAGGUAUUUUUUUUGUGUUUGUUAUAUAUAAAUUUCAUGUAUAUAAAUAGAACAGCCACAAUUUUCAUUGUUAAUUUCAGGUCUCUGGUAUAGUUUUGUUUGGUAUAUUUUCAUU